Molecule: long non-coding RNA, 2315 nt
Organism: Astatotilapia calliptera (eastern happy)
Lineage: Eukaryota; Metazoa; Chordata; Actinopteri; Cichliformes; Cichlidae
Source: Ensembl
CCAAUGCCAGCUCUUUGCCAAUCUGCUUGGGUGUGUUUGUGUGCCAGUGAGAUUCUGGUGGGAAGCCCCUGCACUGGAGGCCAGGGGUGGCUUAUAAGCCCGAACCCCAGCUGGUGUUGGGUUAGGUGAAGCUUCGCGAGAACAGUCGCCCCUUUUGGGAGCGCGAGAGAAAGUGAAAUUAUAUUGAGCAGAAGUAUAAAGUUAGAUGCAAGUUGCCACAAAAAGGUCAUCAAAUUGAAGAAAAUGCACCAAAGAGCCCAGCUGUUAUAACAAAGAUAUCUGUGCAGAGAGCAUUAAUUAAAAUCUGUCAUUAAUGAAGCUAAUCAGUUACUCUAGAUUGGUAUUGCGCCAAUUUAAAAGAAAAAGAAAAAAACAACAACAAAAAAAACACAUUAGAUUCGCAUCCAAGCUUUCAACACAACAAUGUAGCCCCAAAACAGUACUAAACGAUUUCUCAAAUUUAAAGAUUUGUUUAUGUGACACUGUGCCUGAAAAGGCUAUAAAUGCUGCAAUAUUCUUGUACAUAUUCAAAAAAUAUUGUUGGUUAAGGGAUGAGACAAAUCUAAAAAGCUCACAUGGUGUUAAAUGCAUGCACAGGAUCUUGUAAGUCAGUCAAGACUAAAAUGCCCUACAAAAAGCUGUUGAAUUUUCCACAAUGACCAAAUCCAGAGUGCAAUUCACUGCACUGGGUUUGAGCGUCUGGUUUUUGUUUUGUUUUUUUUGCUUCUCUAGCAUUUGCUGCCAAGUUGGUCGUUUUCUCCUUUUUUUGCUGCUAGGAGUAACAAACUCCCUGAACCCAGUUCCUUGGAUGGUUUAAGUUGUUUGCUUUAUGACAGCCAACCUCCACUCUUCAAAAUAAAGCAAAUCUUAGCUUGCAAUCUGAUACUUUAGUACUCAUUUCCUACUUUAAUGUUUCUACACCUGCUAAAGUACCCCGAGAUUAGUACUAGGAGUAGUUUUAUACAAGUACAAAUGUCCAGUAGGAUUUAAAAUAAAUAAAUAAAUAAGUAUAUAUAUACCUACACACACACACACACACACACACACACACACACACACACACACACACACACACACACAACCAACAUUUAUGUAUACAUAUAUACAUAAAUAUAAAACAAAACUGAGCAAUAGAGAAAUAGACGAGUUAUCCAGUCAACUAAAAAUCAAGCCCACCACUUUUCAUACAAAUGAUCAAAACAUUUACACUGCCUUCGAAGACAGAACAAAGACUUCAGGUGGCUCUCAGCCACUCCUUGGCUUUGAGAAGUGAUGCGCAGAGUACGGCACCACCCAAACAAUGUAGGGGCAGAGUCUAGCGAAAUCUGCCCAGUGACAGCAAAUAAACUGGCAAGUGCUAGCUCAACAGGAAUGCAGGCCUCAGACGGUGGUUCUCAACUUCAAGGUGAGGGAACAAUGCCGGCCUAUUUGAUUUUUUGAUUUUUCUUUUUAAACAAAAAACCCCAAAACAAAACAAAUGCACGUCAUCAGAGCAAAAAACAAACAAACAAACAAAACAAAAACAAGAAAAUCCCUAAAAUGUUUGUUAGAAAUCUCAGAGGAAUUAAACUAUACGAAUCCAUGUUAUUCUCUAAUCCACAUUUUAAUAAGAUCUCUGGAAUGGGUGUGUAUUUAAAAAAAUAAAUAAAAAAAUAAAAAAAAUGAAAAUGACAUGCAUCUGUGCAGCCCUCCUUAAAAAUCUGAUUGGACUGUGUGUGAAGAGGACUGACCCCAGAUCCCCGCUGAUGCUGAAGCACCCCUUCAGUAGGAAUACAGCUGGCUGAAGCUCCAGAUUUAGUAUCUGCGAGUCACAAACCAUAAAUUAUUAGCUCCCAAGAUAAAAUGAGACUCUGUAGUACAAUUUCUCCAACCCCACUGCCACCACCACCCCUCGCUCUCAUCGUACCUUAUUUACAAAGGCAGAAAAUGUAACCAUGGGAACACACUACCAGGCAACCUCAGUGGCUUGGCAUGAUGCCCAAUGGUUGCUAGGGCACUGUUGUCAAUGGCUAUUGGGUUGUGUGGGCCAGUGUGUGAGUAGGAGAGAUUGAACACUCUCACACAAAUACACAAGUUUGUAGAUUACACACAAUAUCUAGGCAUUAAAUAAAUGUAGACCAACAUGGUAGUGUUCCAUUUCCAUAAUAGGGGCUUUUAUAUGCAUCUAGUGUGUAAUUAUUUUAAAUAAUAUGGGCCAUUUAAAAAAAAUGUAUUUAUUUUUUUAUUAAUGGUUUGACUGUGGUUGACAAAUGAUGCAAGGCCGCUUUUGUUGGCUAACAGACAAAAGGAAAGAUUAAGCCUGCAGGCAGUUACAU